UACGUAGGGUGCGAGCGUUAAUCGGAAUUACUGGGCGUAAAGCGUGCGCAGGCGGUUUUGUAAGUCAGAUGUGAAAUCCCCGGGCUCAACCCGGGAACUGCAUUUGAGACUGCAAAGCUAGAGUGUGGCAGAGGGGGGUGGAAUUCCACGUGUAGCAGUGAAAUGCGUAGAUAUCUGGAGGAACAUCAGUGGCGAAGGCGACACCCUGGACUCAUACUGACACUGAGGUGCGAAAGCGUGGGGAGCAAACAGGAUUAGAUACCCUAGUAGUCCCUGAA
RNAcentral lists this ribosomal RNA (278 nucleotides) under uncultured bacterium. RNAcentral describes it as "partial 16S ribosomal RNA". It matches the Rfam family "Bacterial small subunit ribosomal RNA", at positions 524 to 801 of the family's 1533-position model. The record is from RNAcentral.